Peromyscus californicus insignis is the source of this 2012-nucleotide long non-coding RNA. RefSeq lists it as uncharacterized. The transcript is spliced from 2 exons. The record is from RefSeq and is a predicted model, not a curated record. Lineage: Eukaryota; Metazoa; Chordata; Mammalia; Rodentia; Cricetidae.
AUGUGAGGAGCAAUCUAGUAGCGGCUCAGCUUUCACUGUCUCGGAGGGCGUUUCCAUCCCGAUCCCCGAGAAGAAGAUUUAAAUAAAGUGCCAGGCUGUGCCAUUCAAACACAGACAGCAUAGCUUGGCCCGGACAUGAAAAGGAACUUCUGGUUCUGUUGCAUCAGAGCAGGACCUGCCAUGUGACCAACACACUUCCCUUUGGAGGUAAAUACACAAUUCAUUCAACCUGCGGCUGUAUCCCUUCACUCCAGUUCUUCAGAUCUUAGCUUUCUCUUCUAGAAAUCGCUCAACUGUUGCUAAUUUUAAAAUAUGAACUGUGGAACUAAGAGGAAGCCUGUGUCUGCUAUUAACUCAACAAAAAGCCCCCUAGAGGACGUAUCAAACUGAAUUCUUCUUUGAAGAAUUAAGAAUUAGUCAGGGAAGGAGGGGUGAACUCAGUAAAGGAGAUAGCAUUUGCUCACGCGUUCAUUGUGCUGUGCAGUAAACAAAUAAGUUUCAGAUAAGAUGAGAUCAACUCAAAUAGUCACACCAGGCAGACUCUUUCUUGUGGGUUAAUCUUCCCUAGGAGUUUGAGCUUUAUACUAAAGACUGUAGGAACCUGGCGAAGGAUGGAAAUCAGAUCAGUAGAAGCAGUGGGGAAAGGAUUACAAGGGAAGCUGAACCCCAGGGAAGAUAAUAGUGACCUUAUGGGGAAGUGCUCCAAGACCACUUGAGGCUGGGGUGUAAUUCAGAGAAACGAAGGAAGAAGAAUCCACAGAUCCUGAUGAUAUAACCAGUCAACUUGGACUUAAAAGUUGAGAGAGAAUACACAAUGAAAAAUCUCAUAGGUUUUGGUAUCUAAAAGACUGCAUGAAGAGUAUACAAUUUGCCAAGACUGUCUUCUGAGGAUCUGGGACACGUAUUCACAACAUGUACCUGAUGAAGAGCAUCUUGCAGAAAACCUGCACCUGCUUAUGUUUCCUUGUGCUCUUGAUUAACUUGUUGGAUUUCCUGCUUGUGUUUCCUUGUGCUCUUGAUUAACUUGUUGGAUUUCCAUUGGAUUGGUCUUCCAGUGACAUGGAAAGCUUGUAGCUUUGGAGCAAAGAAGUGACAUGACCCACUGACAUCUCAGAAGAUCACUCUGGCUACGGAUUAGUAAACAGAUGAUAAAUGAACAAGGAUGGAAGAAAGGAGGUCAGUCUGUUGUCUUCGAAGUAACAGGAAGGAUAUUGGAGUCUUCAUGAGGUUUAGCUAUGGGUAUGGACUGAGUAUAUGCAAAGGUCAAGUAAUGUGUGACCAAGAAUGCAUGGAAAUCUACAAAUAGUGGAAAGCUCCCUAAUUUAGCCUUAUGCAAUGGGUCUCCAGCAUGCUUAUUGGAAUCCCAUUGUUGUCUAGUUUCUUUAGUACUUGGGAAUGCUUAAGUCUCUGUUUCACAACUGAAAAUCUAAUUAUUUUGUUCCUCAAUGUUCAGUAAACACUGUAGACAUGGCCCUAUUAUUCUCAGUAAAAUAGAUCCACUGGUCCUUGGGGUUUUGAAAAUCAUUCUUUUGGAAAUAUUGAUAGUUCUUACUGUACUGGAGACCUCUUACUAAAUUGAAAUACAGACUUCACAGUCAUAAUAUUGAUAAUUAUGUUUAAUAAGAGAAAAUAUAUCCAGAACUGAAUUCUGUUUUAAUGUAGCAAUGUUUGCUUGCUAAGAGUUUGCUAUAGAUAUUACAGUGCAUUGGGUUACUCAAUGAAUAGGAUCAGUAUCAGAGAAACUUUCAAAUCAUAUCUCCUAUUAUCUUUGGCAUCUAUAGCACAAAUCCUAAUUGGUCUUAAUAAAAACCUGGAGCCAGAUAUCGGGGUAAAUGCUGGAAGAUCAGAGAAGCAGAGCAGCCAGCCACCAGAGUUCUUAUCUCUACUGAAUUCUCAGCUUGAAAGAGCCUGAGGUCCUGUCUCCACCUGCCUUAUAUUCCUUUCUCCGCCCAGCCAUAUCACUUCCUGUCUCAACUUCCCCAGUGCUGGGAUUAAAGAUAUGUGUGCCACUA